Sycon ciliatum is the source of this 1241-nucleotide long non-coding RNA. RefSeq lists it as uncharacterized. Lineage: Eukaryota; Metazoa; Porifera; Calcarea; Leucosolenida; Sycettidae. The record is from RefSeq and is a predicted model, not a curated record. The transcript is spliced from 3 exons.
CGCGAUUACGCUGAAGAUCACCAGAAAAUGUUUCAGGCAAGCUGGCUCUCAAUCAUUCUUCUCUCGACUUGGUGGAUCUCAGACCAAGAUUUCCCAGCGCUUGGACUUUCAAUGUACGGCUGGCCGGGCUACAUGCACAAUAGAUCUACAUGUAGCGUGGGAAAGCUUCAGUUCUUUCACACACCAGUGCGUCCUCCUAUUUCAUCAGCUGGACUUCUCAGCGGGUAGCGAGGAUGCCAUGCCUUGACAGCGCCCAGCGAGUGGAUGAGUCAUGGGAUGGGAGGACGAGAAAGAACUGCUACGUCACUGCGGUCCUGACUGCCAUUCUGGUGAUUAUAACCGUGGGCUUUGUGCUGCUGGGUGUGUUCUGGCAGGUUCGAUUCUACUACGCGGCAGGUGCGGUUGGUCUUGCCUUUCUGGUCACUGCAGCCGUGCUUACUAGGUACUGUGUGGUCUGUAUCAGCCAUUGGAAAACACUCGACUCAGGACCAGAAGGCAGUGCGGAGUCCGGUAUGCAGAUAGCAGACAACUGGUCUCAAGCCAGCCCGUCAGCAACUGCUCCAAGUGGCCAGAAGCGAGCAAUCUUCACACAGAGUGUUCCAGCCUUAGUGCAACCUACUCUGGAGAGUCGCGACGGGCCAGCAAGGAAAAGUGCUGGUGUGCCCUCAAAGAAAACCUACCCACCGCUCGCAAUGACUCACACUUUACCAAUAUAAACUGGUCGAUUCAGUUCGGUGAUUCAGACAGAAUUGCCGUCCAUCAGCCCCUUAAUGAAGCUUUCGCAGAUUGAGAUUCGCAGGAGUCUGACACCAAUAAAAUUAUGGGAUCGAAUGGUCCGGAAAUUUCCCAGGAAAGGUGUAAAAUCCACAUUCAUGUUGCUCACUAAAUCCACCCCUCUGAUAAUGACAUGUUCUAGCAAGAAUAUUCAAUGACAUUACCAAUGCAAUAACACUGAUCAUAAUUAUUUUCACGUUACUCAAUCACUAGUUGUAAUUAAAAAAAUGUGUACUAACUUUUACUCUUCCCCACCUUGCAUAGUAUAGCCUUGAUCAUGCCAUCUAGCCAUUAUCUUUCCCCGGCGGUUAUUGAAGUCUGGACAGGUUGGCCAUUCAUAAUAAGACUAUAGUGGAAUACCCAUUCUUUCCACGUGAGUGGUAUGUUGAUGGUCACCAAGAGUUGCGGACAAGAGAGGACUCAGUAACCAUGUAUCUUUCUAGAAUGGCAACAAUUUACCAGUACAC